GACGAACGCUGGCGGCGUGCCUAAUACAUGCAAGUCGAGCGCAGGAAACUGACGGAACUCUUCGGAGGGAAGGCAGUGGAAUGAGCGGCGGACGGGUGAGUAACACGUAAGGAACCUGCCUCAAGGAUUGGGAUAACUCCGAGAAAUCGGAGCUAAUACCGGAUAGUUCAACGGACCGCAUGGUCCGCUGAUGAAAGGCGCUUCGGCGUCACCUUGAGAUGGCCUUGCGGUGCAUUAGCUAGUUGGUGGGGUAACGGCCCACCAAGGCGACGUUGCAUAGCCGACCGGGGGGGGUGAUCGGCCACACUAGGACUGAGACACGGCACAGCCUCCUACGGGAGGCAGCAGUAGGGAAUCUUCCACAAUGGACGAAAGUCUGAUGGAGCAACGCCGCGUGAGUGAUGAAGGUUUUCGGAUCGUAAAACUCUGUUGUAAGGGAAGAACACGUACGAGAGGAAAUGCUCGUACCUUGACGGUACCUUACGAGAAAGCCACGGCUAACUACGUGCCAGCCGCCGCGGUAA
Molecule: ribosomal RNA, 524 nt
Filed under: uncultured bacterium
Lineage: Bacteria
Description: partial 16S ribosomal RNA
Rfam family: Bacterial small subunit ribosomal RNA
Source: RNAcentral